This is an RNA transcript of Armigeres subalbatus, 3371 nucleotides long. It is a transcript of the gene named NKAP family protein CG6066-like, with no coding region annotated. The transcript is spliced from 6 exons. The record is from RefSeq and is a predicted model, not a curated record. NCBI's taxonomy places the organism in Eukaryota, Metazoa, Arthropoda, Insecta, Diptera, Culicidae.
UCCUUUUCCGAUUAUAUGAGUACAUGGACACUUGGUUGGCAACAUUACCGAUGCAGCUAUGCCUGGCUCCAUAACCGUCGGUCUUGAGCGAUGUUUCUCCAGUUUUCCCGAAUGUUUAGGUCCCCAGGUCCGAUUCCACCGCAAACAGCCAGCGUGAUAGUGGCCUUCCAUGAAUGCACCACCAGCGGUUCUCGACGUAUCGACAUAUAAUAUUCUACGUAUGCGGUCACAAACAGCAGAUUCCCGGGUCUUCAAUUCUAGUCUAGUGGAUCGAUUGAGAUUCCUAUAGACUUGAUCCUAGGUAGCGAUAUUCCGGCGGCGACGCAUGCUACUAAAGAACUGGAAGACCACAAUCUGAUUGCUAUCUUGGAAGGUGAUGAUGCGAACAUUACGGAACAGCGACCGAAAUUUAAGUUAAAGUCGGUGGUGGCGACGAAGCCAUUGCCAUUCAUGAAAUCCAAUAAGAAGAACCGCAAAAAGAAUAAGCAUAUUAAGAAGAAAAAGAAGGUAUCUUCCUCAUCAUCCGCGGAUUCGUCAUCAUCGGACAACAACGAGGAGGAAGAGGAGUGGGUCGAAAAGUCUGGUAGCAAAGCGGAAGCCAGAGCCGGAACUUCCAUGGGUAGUGGUGGCGCGGACGAGGAACUGGGCGAUGGCGUCGUGGGACCGAUUAAAACCAGCCGUAAUCUAAGCCAGAAGGACUUUGGUCGGGCACUGCUGCCUGGUGAGGGUGCCGCGAUGGCCGCCUAUGUGACCGAGGACAAGCGAAUUCCGCGGCGUGGUGAAAUCGGGCUUACAUCGGACGAGAUUGUCAACUUUGAGGACUUUGGAUACGUGAUGAGCGGUAGCAGACAUCGUCGUAUGGAGGCGGUCUGUAUUCGUAAGGAAAAUCAAAUCUAUUCUGCCGACGAAAAACGAGCGCUGGUCAUGUUCAGCAAGCAAGAACGUCAGAAGCGCGAAAACAAGAUCCUGUCACAGUUCAAGGAGAUGAUCAGCGCUAAACUAGCCAAUGACAAGCGUUGAGUAGUUUAGCGUUAACAGGCGUUAGCUAGUAUUAACUUAACUGCGCGCGUGCUCUCAGAGCCUUUGGAUGAGACAACGUAUCAUGAAGCAAAUCGAUCCUAAUGAUAAAAUAUAGAAACACAACAACACAACUCCAAUCUGCAAAAUCGAAUUGCAUAAUUGUUCAGAUCAAACUGACUUCGAAGAUGCAAUUCCGGUCAUUGUAGUUGAGUCACAAAACUUUACCCCAGUUGACGCCACACCUUCGUUAGAGAGCAUCCAAUCGAGAGUAAUCGACGCAUCUACCGUCAUGGACACUGCGGAUGACAAUUUACUGCCAAACUCGGACCCGAUGUUUGCACUCCUGUUCACCAAGUGAAAAGCGUGACUAGCGUAAUUCAAGAAUUGCAUGAAGCUGACCGAGAACUUUCCGAGAACCAAAUUGCUCGAAUCCAAAACAAAGUGAGAAUGUUGGACAUUUUGAUGAAGUAGCUUGUACUGAGAAAACUACCGAGUUGAGCACGCAGCAACCAGAUGAGUUGGAGUGGAAUUAGGAAAUUGUGAAAGCACCGAAAUGAACCUACGGUCGUUCUAGACAGAAAAAGUUUUAAUCGAUCCACCGGACAAGCUUAAGGUAGUUGACUCCCAUGGCUGGCGCUGGGUACAUGUAGAAGAGUCCGAUGACAACGACGUCAAUUUACAUCAAAAUCUGUGGGAUGGUUGCGAUCCUUUCCGAUUACAAUUCACGUCAGGUGAUUUCAACAACUCUACUGAAAAUUUUGCGAUUGAAUCAAGAAAGCAAUAGGUUAUCGUAAUAGAUGAUGAUGAAGUAGUAAUCAAAAUGAAGCCCGAAGAAAUUGUGGAAUCUCAUCAGGAAACUCAGGACGACGAGGCAUUGCAAAUACAGAAAAAAAUCGAAACAGGAAGUGAAAUUCUUCGAAUAUCUGAAGAUUAUAAAGUUCUGAACCCUCAAGAUGCCAAUCAACCGGUUGUUGAAUCUGAAACAGAAUUACCACCUGCAACAUCUGCCUCGGUGUCAUCACAAAAAACUAUGUUAAACACUUGACAAAAUCAAGACGUUCGCAUUAAAAAGAAAAUCUGAAGCAAUCCAAUCGAAGGCCAAAGAACAGGCACCCAAAUCAAAAAAGCGCAUUCUAAAACACAUCGCAUUGAAAUGGUCAACUAGCCUAUCUGUCGGAAAACCGAAAAGACCGCCUCGUGAAAGCACGGUAGUUAAUCCACGUCAACGGCACGCCGUUCAAACGCAAGCUCUCUCGUUGUUGGAUGCUCUUUUUAGGCAACCCAAACUCCCACCGUUGCAACGCACGUCUUCUACAACUCCUUGCCCUUCAACGUCGUCGCGGUCCGCAUCUCGUUCCUCGGUAGUUCCAAUGCCUAUCGUCGUAUCAAGAAUGAAAAUCGAGGCUUUCGGAAUUUUUGAGGAUGUUGAGGUCGGCUGAAAGGAACGCAGAAAAAUUUGCAUGAGUUGUGGGCCUUGCUGAAUUUUCUGUUGCCGGAUAUUUUCAACAUCGGAAAUGAUUUUGACUCCUGGUUCGACGCUAAUGAAUGCAUCGGGGGACGCUAAUGAAUGCAUCAAAAUGAUUGAACGUUUCCAUGUGGUAUUGAAGCCUUUCUUUCUCCUGAAAUCGGAAGUAUAGAAGAGGGUGCUGCCAAAAAGGAGGUCAAAACGUGCGAAAAUCAAGUUAUUAAUCAAGUGGUUAAAUUGGUUAUUCAACAAAGGCGUUUUGUGGACAACAAAAUCAUGUUGAACAUCAUUCGAUUCAGCAUCAAUCGCGUUUUCGACCAUAUGUUGCAGAAAUGUGAAAAGCAAACCGCAGAGCAAGCUGCCAAGCAGGUCGAAUCUACGAACCCAAAGUAUCGAUAGCUCCCCUUCCUCCGAAGCAACCAAUUGUUCACGACUUCAAGGUCCCCAAGAAUCCGGACCUGGGCAUGGAAGCAAGCAAGGUCCAAUAGAAGGAAAAGCGUAAUAUCCACAAAGCGGACCCGCUCAGAGAUUAGGAGCUUUUUGGGAAUGAAUCGCUGCUGACGCAAGGCUUCACCUACUGGAACAAACAAGACUUCAGUCAGUUCAAAAGUCAAAACCAACGAAUCGGUCGGAAUGGCAUUGAAAACAUUGCCAAGGAGGUGGAGGACAAACACCGGAAGAGGUUAUGGAGUACAGUGCGGGCUUUUGUGAACGUUGCCACGAAAUGCAGGACAUUGAGCAGCUGAUGAUCAGAUCGAACGGAGCGAGGCGAUGAUUCAACACCGGGCUUGGAAAUACGGAGUGACGGUAAGCUAGCAAUUGUUUUAUGUGUGUAUAAUGAUUUGUAAUAUGUUUACAAAAAUAGUAUUCGUGAAUAAAAAUAUUA